GACGAACGCUGGCGGCGUGCCUAAUACAUGCAAGUAGAACGCUGAAACUUGGUGCUUGCACCGAGCGGAUGAGUUGCGCACGGGUGAGUAACGCGUAGGUAACCUGCCUGGUAGCGGGGGAUAACUAUUGGAAACGAUAGCUAAUACCGCAUAAGAGUAGCUGUUGCAUGACAUUUGCUUAAAAGGUGCAAUUGCACCACUACCAGAUGGACCUGCGUUGUAUUAGCUAGUUGGUGGGGUAACGGCUCACCAAGGCGACGAUACAUAGCCGACCUGAGAGGGUGAGCUGCCACGCUGGGAUGGGGACACGGCCCAGACCCCUACGGGAGGGAGCAGUAGGGAAUCUUCGGCAAAAGACGGAAGGCGGACCGAGCAACGCCGCGUGAGUGAAGGAUGUUGUCGGAUCGUAAAGAUCAGUUGUAAGAGAGGGACGAGUGUGAGAGUGGAAAGUGCACACUGUGACGGUAUCUGACCAAAAAGCGACGGCUAACUACGUG
Molecule: ribosomal RNA, 497 nt
Filed under: uncultured bacterium
Lineage: Bacteria
Description: partial 16S ribosomal RNA
Rfam family: Bacterial small subunit ribosomal RNA
Source: RNAcentral